RNAcentral lists this ribosomal RNA (402 nucleotides) under uncultured bacterium. RNAcentral describes it as "bacterial SSU rRNA". It matches the Rfam family "Bacterial small subunit ribosomal RNA", at positions 355 to 774 of the family's 1533-position model. The record is from RNAcentral.
UCGGGAAUUUUGGGCAAUGGGCGAAAGCCUGACCCAGCAACGCCGCGUGAGGGAUGAAGUAUUUCGGUAUGUAAACCUCCAAAGAAUGGGAAGAAUAAAUGACGGUACCAUUUAUAAGCUCCGGCUAACUACGUGCCAGCAGCCGCGGUAAUACGUAGGGAGCAAGCGUUGUUCGGAUUUACUGGGCGUAAAGGGCGCGUAGGCGGCGCGGUAAGUCACUUGUGAAAUCUCUGAGCUUAACUCAGAACGGCCAAGUGAUACUGCUGUGCUAGAGUGCGGAAGAGGCAACCGGAAUUCUUGGUGUAGCGGUGAAAUGCGUAGAUAUCAAGAGGAACACCUGAGGCGAAGGCGGGUUGCUGGGCCGACACUGACGCUGAUGCGCGAAAGCCAGGGGAGCAAACG